Molecule: ribosomal RNA, 470 nt
Filed under: uncultured bacterium
Lineage: Bacteria
Description: bacterial SSU rRNA
Rfam family: Bacterial small subunit ribosomal RNA
Source: RNAcentral
GACGAACGCUGGCGGCGUGCUUAACACAUGCAAGUCGAACGGUAAGGCCCUUCGGGGUACACGAGUGGCGAACGGGUGAGUAACACGUGGUGAUCUGCCCUGCACUUCGGGAUAAGCCUGGGAAACUGGGUCUAAUACCGGAUAGGACCAUGGACUUCACGGUUUGUGGUGGAAAGCUUUUGCGGUGUGGGAUGGGCCCGCGGCCUAUCAGCUUGUUGGUGGGGUAAUGGCCUACCAAGGCGACGACGGGUAGCCGGCCUGAGAGGGUGUCCGGGCCACACUGGGACUGAGAUACGGCCCAGACUCCUACGGGAGGCAGCAGUGGGGAAUAUUGCACAAUGGGCGCAAGCCUGAUGCAGCGACGCCGCGUGAGGGAUGACGGCCUUCGGGUUGUAAACUCUUUCAAUAGGGACGAAGCGCAAGUGACGGUACCUAUAGAAGAAGCACGGCCAACUACGUGCCAGCAGCCG